RNAcentral lists this ribosomal RNA (530 nucleotides) under Bifidobacterium longum subsp. suillum. RNAcentral's name for it is "bacterial SSU rRNA". It matches the Rfam family "Bacterial small subunit ribosomal RNA", at positions 153 to 698 of the family's 1533-position model. Lineage: Bacteria; Bacillati; Actinomycetota; Actinomycetes; Bifidobacteriales; Bifidobacteriaceae. The record is from RNAcentral.
GAAACGGGUGGUAAUGCCGGAUGCUCCAGUUGAUCGCAUGGUCUUCUGGGAAAGCUUUCGCGGUAUGGGAUGGGGUCGCGUCCUAUCAGCUUGACGGCGGGGUAACGGCCCACCGUGGCUUCGACGGGUAGCCGGCCUGAGAGGGCGACCGGCCACAUUGGGACUGAGAUACGGCCCAGACUCCUACGGGAGGCAGCAGUGGGGAAUAUUGCACAAUGGGCGCAAGCCUGAUGCAGCGACGCCGCGUGAGGGAUGGAGGCCUUCGGGUUGUAAACCUCUUUUAUCGGGGAGCAAGCGUGAGUGAGUUUACCCGUUGAAUAAGCACCGGCUAACUACGUGCCAGCAGCCGCGGUAAUACGUAGGGUGCAAGCGUUAUCCGGAAUUAUUGGGCGUAAAGGGCUCGUAGGCGGUUCGUCGCGUCCGGUGUGAAAGUCCAUCGCUUAACGGUGGAUCCGCGCCGGGUACGGGCGGGCUUGAGUGCGGUAGGGGAGACUGGAAUUCCCGGUGUAACGGUGGAAUGUGUAGAUAUC